CUGCAAGUGACUGUCCUGGGCAGCUGAAGGAGGCCUAACCUGGGGGACAUGCAUACUAUGGUUGAGAAAGGAGGUGACAGAACCAACAUGGGCUGAAGUGAAGCAUUAGGGAGGAAGACAGAGCUGUCAGAAGCCACACAUGUGAGGGAGCAGUUAAGGAACAAAGUGUGAGAAAGGAAAGGGUAAGAGGUUUGGGAUAAGACUAUGACAGUGAUGGGUAUUAGGACUGGAUUUGGUUUUGUGAUCUGUGGCUUGAAGUACAGCCAAUUAGAACCCUAUGACAAUUGCCUCAUAAAUUGAUGAUAAAGUUCUGAAGAGAAAGAUCACUAGGCCAGAGUUACCCUGGUAAUAACAUUUGCAGGCACACAAUGGGAUUGAAUCUACAGGACGUAUUCUCCCACCAAGCUGCGUACCCCUGAAGGCACUGUGCUGGGGAGCCACUUGGACACCCUUAGAUUAAUAUGAAUGUGGGCAUACACAGUCCAACAGUUGCCCCUUUU
This 500-nucleotide long non-coding RNA is filed under the name Marmota monax (woodchuck). Lineage: Eukaryota; Metazoa; Chordata; Mammalia; Rodentia; Sciuridae. The record is from RNAcentral.